Non-coding RNA from Salvelinus sp. IW2-2015, 121 nucleotides. The record is from RefSeq and is a predicted model, not a curated record. NCBI's taxonomy places the organism in Eukaryota, Metazoa, Chordata, Actinopteri, Salmoniformes, Salmonidae.
UAUAGGGAAUAGGGUGCCAUUUGAGAUCCAUUUCUAUCCUCAGUACCAGAGACCCAGUUCUAUCCUCAGUACCAGAGACCCAGUUCUAUCCUCAGUACCAGAGACCCAGUUCUAUCCUCAG